GACGAACGCUGGCGGCGUGCUUAACACAUGCAAGUCGAACGGAAAGGCCCUGCUUUUGUGGGGUGCUCGAGUGGCGAACGGGUGAGUAACACGUGAGUAACCUGCCCUUGACUUUGGGAUAACUUCAGGAAACUGGGGCUAAUACCGGAUAGGAGCUCCUGCUGCAUGGUGGGGGUUGGAAAGUUUCGGCGGUUGGGGACGGACUCGCGGCUUAUCAGCUUGUUGGUGGGGUAGUGGCUUACCAAGGCUUUGACGGGUAGCCGGCCUGAGAGGGUGACCGGCCACAUUGGGACUGAGAUACAGCCCAGACUCCUACGGGAGGCAGCAGUGGGGAAUAUUGCACAAUGGGCGGAAGCCUGAUGCAGCAACGCCGCGUGCGGGAUGACGGCCUUCGGGUUGUAAACCGCUUUCGCCUGUGACGAAGCGUGAGUGACGGUAAUGGGUAAAGAAGCACCGGCUAACUACGUG
RNAcentral lists this ribosomal RNA (468 nucleotides) under uncultured bacterium. RNAcentral's name for it is "partial 16S ribosomal RNA". It matches the Rfam family "Bacterial small subunit ribosomal RNA", at positions 28 to 507 of the family's 1533-position model. The record is from RNAcentral.